AUUGAACGCUGGCGGCAUGCCUUACACAUGCAAGUCGAACGGCAGCACGGGUGCUUGCACCUGGUGGCGAGUGGCGAACGGGUGAGUAAUACAUCGGAACAUGUCCUGUAGUGGGGGAUAGCCCGGCGAAAGCCGGAUUAAUACCGCAUACGAUCUACGGAUGAAAGCGGGGGACCUUCGGGCCUCGCGCUAUAGGGUUGGCCGAUGGCGGAUUAGCUAGUGGGUGGGGUAAAGGCCUACCAAGGCGACGAUCAGUAGCUGGUCUGAGAGGACGACCAGCCACACUGGAACUGAGACACGGCCCAGACUCCUACGGGAGGCAGCAGUGGGGAAUUUUGGACAAUGGGCGAAAGCCUGAUCCAGCAAUGCCGCGUGUGUGAAGAAGGCCUUCGGGUUGUAAAGCACUUUUGUCCGGAAAGAAAUCCUUGGCCCUAAUACGGUCGGGGGAUGACGGUACCGGAAGAAUAAGCACCGGCUAACUACGUG
Molecule: ribosomal RNA, 486 nt
Filed under: uncultured bacterium
Lineage: Bacteria
Description: partial 16S ribosomal RNA
Rfam family: Bacterial small subunit ribosomal RNA
Source: RNAcentral